UCAAAGUGGCCACGCCCUCAAAUAUGCCUAACUUUAAGUAGCUCACUUCAUAUAAUUAUAAAGUGUGAGUCAUAUAAGAUUCUCCCCCCGUACUGUUAGCUGUGGAACAUCCGAAGAACUGCCGUUUCUGGAACUUCUGUGUUUGGUUAAUAUCUCAGCAGGAGGAUGUUUAGCCCACACAUGUCAAUUUCCGCUCGUGACCGUGGCUAUACGCUUCAGGAACCUUCCUCUACACAGGAAACAACUCGGGUUUAGGCAACCAAACUACUUCGAUUGAAGGCGUGUGCGAGUUGAUCCUCAUUAGCAGGAUACCUGUGAGAGAUACAAAAUAAUGAACCACAGUUACAGCAAUAUUUAUGGUUAUGUACCCAUUUUAUUUUCUUCUAUUCAUCACCCCAGACAUAUAAUCCUAAGGAAAACUUUUAACAAUUUUUUGCUGUUGCAGAGUUAGGCCACCCGAGCGUUUCCCCAUGAGCUCAGACCUGCUGUGAUUGGAUGGAUUCAAUAGGCUUCGCCCAUGGAGAGAUGUCCUGGCAGAAACACUCCCUGGAAGCCUACACAACAGGCCGCCUCGGACCUUGGCUAAUACACACAGCGUUGGGUUUAAUCCUUCAUAA
Long non-coding RNA from Pseudoliparis swirei, 617 nucleotides. RefSeq lists it as uncharacterized. The record is from RefSeq and is a predicted model, not a curated record. The transcript has 5 exons. Lineage: Eukaryota; Metazoa; Chordata; Actinopteri; Perciformes; Liparidae.